GGGCCCGUAGCUCAGUUGGUCAGAGCAGCGGACUCAUAAUCCGCGGGUCGUAGGUUCGAGUCCUACCGGGCCCA
Molecule: transfer RNA, 74 nt
Filed under: bacterium
Lineage: Bacteria
Also listed under: 2 other names
Description: tRNA-Met
Rfam family: tRNA
About the family: Transfer RNA (tRNA) molecules are approximately 80 nucleotides in length.
Source: RNAcentral